RNAcentral lists this ribosomal RNA (466 nucleotides) under uncultured bacterium. RNAcentral describes it as "partial 16S ribosomal RNA". It matches the Rfam family "Bacterial small subunit ribosomal RNA", at positions 28 to 507 of the family's 1533-position model. The record is from RNAcentral.
GAUGAACGCUGGCGGCGUGCUUAACACAUGCAAGUCGAACGAUGAAGCCCAGCUUGCUGGGUGGAUUAGUGGCGAACGGGUGAGUAACACGUGAGUAACCUGCCCUUAACUCUGGGAUAAGCCUGGGAAACUGGGUCUAAUACCGGAUAGGAGCGUCCACCGCAUGGUGGGUGUUGGAAAGAUUUAUCGGUUUUGGAUGGACUCGCGGCCUAUCAGCUUGUUGGUGAGGUAUUGGCUCACCAAGGCGACGCCGGGUAGCCGGCCUGAGAGGGUGACCGGCCACACUGGGACUGAGACACGGCCCAGACUCCUACGGGAGGCAGCAGUGGGGAAUAUUGCACAAUGGGCGCAAGCCUGAUGCAGCGACGCCGCGUGAGGGAUGACGGCCUUCGGGUUGUAAACCUCUUUCAGUAGGGAAGAAGCGAAAGUGACGGUACCUGCAGAAGAAGCACCGGCUAACUACGUG